UGCAUCGGAACAUGUCCAUGUCGUGGGGGAUAGCCCGGCGAAAGCCGGAUUAAUACCGCAUACGCCCGAGAGGGGAAAGCAGGGGACCGCAAGGCCUUGCGCGAUUGGGUUGGCCGAUGUCCGAUUAGCUUGUUGGUGAGGUAAAGGCUUACCAAGGCGAUGAUCGGUAGCUGGUCUGAGAGGAUGAUCAGCCACACUGGGACUGAGACACGGCCCAG
RNAcentral lists this ribosomal RNA (218 nucleotides) under uncultured bacterium. Its description in RNAcentral is "partial 16S ribosomal RNA". It matches the Rfam family "Bacterial small subunit ribosomal RNA", at positions 114 to 334 of the family's 1533-position model. The record is from RNAcentral.